Vespula pensylvanica (western yellowjacket) is the source of this 2508-nucleotide long non-coding RNA. RefSeq lists it as uncharacterized. The record is from RefSeq and is a predicted model, not a curated record. Lineage: Eukaryota; Metazoa; Arthropoda; Insecta; Hymenoptera; Vespidae. The transcript is spliced from 4 exons.
UAGUCUUAGCAAAAGUCUUACUUUUAUAUACGUAUACCUAUAUCUAAAACAAUGUACAUAUAAUAAAUAUAUAUAUAUAUAUCCGCGUCUAAAUCACCAGAUGAAUUAACUCGAGACCGUAAAUGAAAUUAAUUCCAACGAACAUCCGCGUUGGAGUAAUUUCGAUAAAAAAAUAUAUAACAGAAUUUAAUUAAAAUAAAUAAAAAUUAUCAUGGAAAUAAUCAUUAUUAUAAAUAUUAAUUAAAAUUAACGCGAGCUAUAUCGGUCGUGUAUAUUUUUUAUCUCACAUAGAAAUGUUGGUUUUUCGUUGAUCUCCGUUGAUAAAAAGAUAAUAAUUGAAAGAACUUUGAAAGUACGGAUUUUUAUAUACGUAAAAAAGAUGGGAAUGCAUAGAACGCGAUAGGAAUAUACACGUAAGUUUCGUUUAUUUUGCGAAAAAUAGAAAAGGGAGAGGCUGGCUCGUUAUAUCUUACCCUCUUACCGCAUUACGUCUUCCAUGUCGCUUUUCAGGAAACCAACCCCUCUCGAUAAUUUUCCUACUUAUGGGAUUAAUCUCUAUACGAUGCAGUGAGAUGGGUUUUCGAUAGAUCGAUACGGCAGCUGACAUGGGCACGCGCUUCUAAGCCGCUUAUACCGAUACCUCCGACGGACACAGAUUUUUGCGCUUUUUUGGAAAAUCCUCUCGUCCGUCUAAUCCGACAGGCACAGAAAUUGCUAAUAAUUUCGCAGGAAUAAGGCGAUAAUUGAUUUAAAAAAUAUGGAUGCCAUCAACUUCCUUUUAUAUUUCGAAGCUACAACGCAAUCCUUUGCGACAUGCUAAAAGAACAUCGAACGCAAAUCCGAUUAUUUUUUUUCCCCUCUUAUCAUCGGAAUUUCCUCGAAAAUCGAAUUUACGUUAAAAUUAACGCCAAGUUGUUUCUUACUUAAUCUUUGAUGAAAAAAAAGGACUAUUAGAAAAUAAAUUCCAUGGUAGAAUUUUUACGUACGAGUAAAAGAGAAUGAGAAAAUGUGAAACGCGAUAGACGUAGGUUUCGUUUACUUUGCGAUAGAUAUAGAAUAUUCCAUAUUCCGAUCGAGUAUUCUAUGUAUACGAAUCAUCUAAACUAACUUAAUUUCGAAGUGUAGAAAUAUAACUCGUAGUUCCUUUACGAUGGGAGUUCGAAACGAGUCGUGGAAUAAACGAACGAAAAGGCUGCGGCGUAUGUACGCAAACGUUAUAAUUCUGAAUUAUGGUGCAUAUUUUACGAGAGAUUACUAGUGGUUUACAAAUGAGUCUCAUAUAUCGACGGAUUAUAGCCAGCUUCAUGUACAAUCGAAAGAAAACUACGGGACCUGAGUAAACAAGGUAUACCUUAUGACGAUGAUGGUCCGUUGGGAAGAACGUUUGGUAAGACUAAUCGUAAUAACAACACAUUCGCCUAUCCGUAUGUACAUAUGGACAAAAAUGUGUCAGCUGGAGGUCGUCUCAUCUUAUACUAUUAUUAUUUGUUAUUGAAAUAUCCUUUCUUCCUCGUAUUCUCGUAUGUUUUGUUUAUCGUUAAUCUCUGUUAGAACACGAUUAAACCUACAUCGACACGUUGGACGAGUACGUCGUAAUGAUAAUCUAUAGACGGAUACUUGUGCUCAUAAAUCAACUUAACAAGUUCACGAUCUUCAAAGUUUAUCUCAGACGUCACAUUCUUCCUUGGAUCUGAGAAAGAAGCCUACGUUUUAACAUUGUGCCAUAAAUAAAAACGGAUCGACGGACCUUUUAUAAGAGAACGCUCGUGUCGUUGAUGGAUUAUUAUUUAAAUAAUAAUCCAUUCAGAAAUAAUAUACUACGUCGGAAAUAAGUUUUAUGUCGACCUUGUAGCUCCGAAUGAAGCGGCAUCGUUAAUGAAGAAUUUGCAUAACGUUAUGGGGAGUCCCUUCGGCGGUGAAUUAAUGUGCGCACCUUCGACUUUAAUGGAGGGACAAUAGUGAAACCAAUCGUACUACUAAAUCAGCUCGGGAAGUUCGCUAUCACGUAAGAGAUGUAAAAUUGAAAUAUGAAUUAUUCCUCGUGAUGAAGGUGGCGAGAGACGAUUAGUCCCUUGCGAGAUAGUACUCACGUCCGGCUACUCCUUUGCCUAGUUUCUGACGUCAGAAACAACGUCAUUGAUAUUUCAUUAUCAAUGAAAUAACGUUCUUAUCAAAACAAAUCGCCCAAAGGAUUAUCCUUUUAAACGGAAAUUCUAAUUUUUAAUUAAUAGAAACGUGAUCGCAGAUACGUAAUUUUAAUCGAAUUUAAUUAUCUAAUCACAUAAACGCAAACGUCGUAAGGUAUUCUACGUUAACUGUGAAUUUAUGUAAAGUGGAAAAGUUUAUUUCAUGCUUCUGUAUAUAUCGUAACGUGUAUAUUUUACUAGAACGUCUGUAGAUCUUCUAUAAAUAUACAGGAUGAGGUAAGCCGUUUAAUUAUAACACGAAGAUCCAUCAGACAUUGCCUGCUUAAACUUGUAAAUGUUUCAACAUAUCUAAAUAAAACGA